RNAcentral lists this transfer RNA (71 nucleotides) under Caudoviricetes sp. RNAcentral's name for it is "tRNA-His". It matches the Rfam family "tRNA". From Rfam's summary of the family: Transfer RNA (tRNA) molecules are approximately 80 nucleotides in length. Their secondary structure includes four short double-helical elements and three loops (D, anti-codon, and T loops). Further hydrogen bonds mediate the characteristic L-shaped molecular structure. tRNAs have two regions of fundamental functional importance: the anti-codon, which is responsible for specific mRNA codon recognition, and the 3' end, to which the tRNAs corresponding amino acid is attached (by aminoacyl-tRNA synthetases). tRNAs cope with the degeneracy of the genetic code in two manners: having more than one tRNA (with a specific anti-codon) for a particular amino acid; and 'wobble' base-pairing, i.e. permitting non-standard base-pairing at the 3rd anti-codon position. Lineage: Duplodnaviria; Heunggongvirae; Uroviricota; Caudoviricetes. The record is from RNAcentral.
GGGUUAUUAGUGUAAUGGUAGCACGAAAGUCUGUGACACUUUAAGAGUAAGUUCAAUUCUUACAUUUCCCA